GUGGGUGAUCUGCCCUGCACUUCGGGAUAAGCCUGGGAAACUGGGUCUAAUACCGGAUAUACCUCAUUGGCUGCAUGGUCGGUGGGGGAAAGCUUUUGCGGUGUGGGAUGGGCCCGCGGCCUAUCAGCUUGUUGGUGGGGUGAUGGCCUACCAAGGCGUCGACGGGUAGCCGGCCUGAGAGGGUGUCCGGCCACACUGGGACUGAGAUACGGCCCAGACUCCUACGGGAGGCAGCAGUGGGGAAUAUUGCACAAUGGGCGCAAGCCUGAUGCAGCGACGCCGCGUGGGGGAUGACGGCCUUCGGGUUGUAAACCCCUUUCAGCACAGACGAAGCGCAAGUGACAGUAUGUGCAGAAGAAGCACCGGCCAACUACGUGCCAGCAGCCGCGGUAAUACGUAGGGUGCGAGCGUUGUCCGGAAUUACUGGGCGUAAAGAGCUUGUAGGUGGUUUGUCGCGUUGUUCGUGAAAUCUCACGGCUUAACCGUGAGCGUGCGGGCGAUACGGGCAGACUAGAGUACUGCAGGGGAGACUGGAAUU
This 538-nucleotide ribosomal RNA is filed under the name uncultured Mycobacterium sp. Its description in RNAcentral is "bacterial SSU rRNA". It matches the Rfam family "Bacterial small subunit ribosomal RNA", at positions 117 to 668 of the family's 1533-position model. Lineage: Bacteria; Bacillati; Actinomycetota; Actinomycetes; Mycobacteriales; Mycobacteriaceae. The record is from RNAcentral.